Molecule: transfer RNA, 29 nt
Filed under: Pangshura tecta (Indian roofed turtle)
Lineage: Eukaryota; Metazoa; Chordata; Testudines; Geoemydidae
Description: partial transfer RNA-Thr
Source: RNAcentral
AAAUAUUCUAGUAGCUUAAUUAGCAAAGC